Molecule: long non-coding RNA, 2167 nt
Organism: Suricata suricatta (meerkat)
Lineage: Eukaryota; Metazoa; Chordata; Mammalia; Carnivora; Herpestidae
Exons: 3
Source: RefSeq, a predicted model, not a curated record
UUGACCUCUUCACCCUCGGAAGGCAGAAGAGACUGGAAACAGUCUCAGACUCCGAUGGCUUAAGGAAGGAGUCAGGGGACUAGGAGGGGCCAAGGGGUCUCUGGGAAGCAGCGAUAUGCUAUCCCUGGAAGAGCAGAACCGUGACCACAGGACAACUGGAAAAGGGGCUGAGUGGCCGCAGGAGCACUGCUCAGCAUGGUCUGCAGCUAGAUGGAUGGACCUCCAGAGAGGCAGAGGCACUCCUGGGGCAGAGCCACGAGUUGGCCUUGGGGAGGCCUCCCAAGAGCUCAAGGUCACUGGCCUGGAGUCUGGCCAGAAGCUGGGGUCAAGGUAGGGGCUACGGGGCCACAGAGCAGGACCUGCUUGGAAACUGCAGCCUCUUGUUCGGAGAAAGACCAUCCGGAGUGAGCAUAAGGCCAGAGCCCCUCCACCAGGCCUCGCCUUUGAGCGGUGACCCCUUCAGAAGAUUCCAGCCAGGACCAGGGGAGGCAGGAGCAGCAGCCCCAGAACGGGGCCCCAGAUGUGACCAGGGCCCGACUUCAGCCCUGACUUGAGGCUAGGCUUUUCAGGGCCCUCUGCACCUGUGGGGAGGGAGAGGCUUUGUCUCAGCCUGGAGACCGCUAUGCCUGACCUCCCACCCUCUCAGCCAGGCGUGCAAGUGGGGGCCCCCCAGCCAAGGAGGAAGGUCCGCCUCAGAGGGUGCAUGCCCCGCUCUGCCCAUAACACCUAUGCUGGGAGCAGGGUGCUGACAUGCUGGAGACUGACGGGGACAGGCCUUACCUGGCAGAGAUGACUGCAGAGCCAGGAUACGCCCACCCACGGCAUUAGCAGUGGCAGAAGUACUGGGGGAGUUAGACAGGGACUUGGAGGAGGUGUGCCCCACAUGGUCCAGCGUGGCCGGCAGCUCACCUGUCUUGCCCUGGACUGGAAAAUCUGAGGCCAAGCCCUCACUGGAAGGAGACAACUCGGCCUCAACCUUGCCUGCCUUCUGGGAGUGGGGUGGUGGGUCCCGUGUCCCUGUCAAGAACAUCUUGGGGUGCGGAGAACUCUCUGGGGUCUUGGAGGGCAUUCUUGUCCUGCUGGCCUCUUUGUCUGCCAAUUUGGAGCUGGGAUCAUUGGUCGAUCUGGGGAAGGUAGCUGGCCCCUCAUCCAAGGAAAACAGGCUGUGAGUUGCCAAAAAGGAAGGGACCUCAGUAGUUAAGGAAGGUGGAGCCUCUGUUGCCAUGGAGGGGGAAUCUUCUGUUGCUAAGGGAGAUGGGGCCUUGGUUUCUACAGCAGGAAGAGCCUUGGUUGCCAGAGGGCCUGAGACCUCUGUUACCAAGGAGGAUGGAGGAGUUUCCGUUGCCCUGGAAGAGGAGAUACCGCUUUUCCUAGAGCCUGAAGCUUCCGUGGCCAGGGAAGAUGGGGCCUCAGUUACCAGAAAUGAAUCUCAAAUGGAAGAAUCUUAGAUAUCAUCAACAAGCAAAAUCCAAAGAACAGAAGAAGCCAUUUUGGAAGUAGAACUUCCCCCCCGAUAUCACAAAUUAGAAACAGCAACUUCAACGCUAUGAGAAAUGACAGAAGAAGGACAGUAAGCCAAAAGACAGAAGCCGGGGCAUGUACCGCGGAUGCAAAGGGCCCUGCCUAACAUAGGUCAGACAGGACCACUUAGACGUGCCUAGAAUAACUACCGUCUACGACCUCUAUGAAACUGGCUCUGCGACACCUAACUUAGGUCCCUUCAGUACGAGGACGAGAGGAGCCACAUAGAUUUUCAAACGACUAUGGUUUUUAGAGUCAACUGAAGAUGGUUUAGGAAGUUUGAGAAGCACACUCCGAGGAGGUGAGGAGACUGGUGGCCUCUUCCCCGCCACGCCCCACCCCACCGGCUGCGCAUGUGGCCCCGCCCCUUGCGCGUAGCUUCGCCCAGUGCUUUUGGGGCCCCACCCCGCCCACCGGCCCAGGGGCUUCGCACCUGCGUGUAGUGGCCGCACAUCUGGCCCUGGUCGCAGGUGGCUGCGCUAAGGUUGUAGUGCUCGCGCUCGUGGUGCCACUCCUCCAUGGCCAGCGGCACGUCCAGGCCCUCGUCCGUGAUGGCGAACAGGUUCUCCCCGCGCCGCCCGCGCUCCUUGUUGUGGCCCCACACGCACUUCUGCGCGUAGGCCUUGGCGAAGGCGGCCAGCUCCUC